Dermacentor silvarum is the source of this 520-nucleotide long non-coding RNA. RefSeq lists it as uncharacterized. Lineage: Eukaryota; Metazoa; Arthropoda; Arachnida; Ixodida; Ixodidae. The transcript has 2 exons. The record is from RefSeq and is a predicted model, not a curated record.
CCACAGCCACGAGCGGGAUCUAAGACCAGGACCGCACGGUAGCAGGACACCCGGUCGCCAAUACCCGUGCCGUGAACUCCCGGUGAGCGAGCGCCGUUCGAGACUUCCGCUCUCUCUCUCUCUCACGCUCUGCGCGCUUCACACACCGCUUCCUUGUUCCUGACUAAACAUGAUCGGCACCAAGAAGGUCCUUGUUGCACUCCUCAUCCUGGCUAUGGUCUUAGCCAUCGAGACCGCAAAGGCCGGAAAACCUGAUAAUCGUGGCUUGGGCAGCAAUCGUGACAGCGGCUUUGGCCACGAACGUGGCUUUCGUGAUCGAAGUCGUGAAACCUCACCCCCACGUGGCUCUAAAGGUAGCCCAGACCUUCGAAACUGGCGCGGCUUUAAACAAGGUUGAUGGCGCAGCUUUGGGAUGAAGCGCACUAGCUCUGGACGAAACUGCAUUCUGAGUAUAGAAAGAGUCGCGCAGAUUUCAAGAAUGCGACAUGUAAACUGAAUUUCAAAAAACAUUAUCGCCUGU